This 496-nucleotide ribosomal RNA is filed under the name uncultured bacterium. RNAcentral describes it as "partial 16S ribosomal RNA". It matches the Rfam family "Bacterial small subunit ribosomal RNA", at positions 899 to 1397 of the family's 1533-position model. The record is from RNAcentral.
ACUCAAAGGAAUUGACGGGGGCCCGCACAAGCGGUGGAGUAUGUGGCUCAAUUCGAUGCAACGCGAAGAACCUUACCAGGCCUUGACAUGCACUAGACAGACGCUGAAAGGCGUUCUCCCUUCGGGGCUGGUGCACAGGUGCUGCAUGGCUGUCGUCAGCUCGUGUCGUGAGAUGUUGCGUUAAGUCGCGCAACGAGCGCAACCCCUGUCCUUAGUUGCCAUCAUUAAGUUGGGCACUCUAGGGAGACAAACCCUCUUUGAGGGUGGGAAGGUGGGGAUGACGUCAAGUCAGGAUGGCCCUUACGGCCUGGGCUGCACACGUACUACAAUGCCCGGUACAGAGGGAAGCAAUACCGCGAGGUGGAGCAAAUCCUCAAAACCGGGCCCAGUUCAGAUUGUAGUCUGCAACUCGACUACAUGAAGUUGGAAUCGCUAGUAAUGGCGCAUCAGCUACGGCGCCGUGAAUACGUUCCCGGGCCUUGUACACACCGCCCGU